AUUGAACGCUGGCGGCAGGCCUAACACAUGCAAGUCGAACGAGUGGCGGACGGGUGAGUAAUGUCUGGGAAACUGCCUGAUGGAGGGGGAUAACUACUGGAAACGGUAGCUAAUACCGCAUACCAUCAGAUGUGCCCAGAUGGGCUUAGCUAGUUGGUGGGGUAACGGCUAACCAAGGCGACGAUCCCUAGCUGGUCUGAGAGGGUGAACGGCCAACCUGGAACUGAGACACGGUCCAGACUCCUACGGGAGGCAGCAGUGGGGAAUAUUGGACAAUGGGCGCAAGCCUGAUGCAGCCAUGCCGCGUGUAUGAAGAAGGCCUUCGGGUUGUAAAAUUCUUUCAGCGGGGAGGCGUUACCCACAGAGGAAGCACCGGCUAACUCCGUGCCAGCAGCCGCGGUAAUAC
This 406-nucleotide ribosomal RNA is filed under the name uncultured bacterium. Its description in RNAcentral is "partial 16S ribosomal RNA". It matches the Rfam family "Bacterial small subunit ribosomal RNA", at positions 30 to 526 of the family's 1533-position model. The record is from RNAcentral.